AAGAGUUCUAUAACUCCCAAAACCCAUGUGAACAUACCACACGUUGCCUCGGCAGGUCGCGUCCUACCUCGAAGUGCCCUACCCCGUAGGGCCUACCUGGUGGGCGCGGGCAACCCUGCCGGCGGCCCACGAAACUCUGUUUAGCAUUGAAUUCUGAACAAAUAACUAAAUAAGUUA
This 177-nucleotide unclassified non-coding RNA is filed under the name uncultured Rosellinia. RNAcentral describes it as "sequence contains ITS1". The record is from RNAcentral. Lineage: Eukaryota; Fungi; Ascomycota; Sordariomycetes; Xylariales; Xylariaceae.